ACUUUCGUCUGCCGAGAGAGCCUCAAUAAACUUUUGGAGCUGCUUCAUCAGCAACGGAGACAUGGCUGGGGUACAACACUCCAGACAUUGGUGUUUUUGUAUUGGUUGGACUGUGGUGCAUCUUACAGGGUUGUGUCGCAGGCUUUUGGGAUGCCACGGCCAACCAUUCAUAGAAUUAUACAUUGAGUGGCUGAUGAAGUCAUGGCAAUUUUGCCAAAGGUUGUGGCCCUACCAAAGUCAGAAGAGCACCUGCUCCAGGUAGGUGCAGGCUUACCUUCUCCCACCAAUCACCAGGCAUUUGGUAAAGCUGUUGGAGCAAUUGAUGGAUGCCAUGUGAGAAUAAAACCACCAGCUGACCCUGAUGGACAGUGUUAUAAAAACAGAAAGCUGUUUGCCUCUAUCCUGCUUCAAGGGAUAUGCGACCAUCAAGGGGCAUUUUUAGACUGGGUACCCCUGGGAGUGUCCACGACUCACGGGUGAUUAAGAACAGCCCCAUUUUUAAACAGGCAAAGUAUCCACCUCAGGGCUUUUUCCUCCUCUGCGAUGGUGGGUACCCCUGCACAGAGAAGCCAAUCUGUGCAAUUUAAGAAUCCAGCCUCACCAGCUACUCAGCGCUUCAAUGCACGUCUUUCCAAAGGCCUCUCAAUUAUUGAGCGUGCUUUGAUGAAGACGCGAUUCAGAACCAUCUUCCUUCAGGCACUUGAAGUGCAUCCAACAUUUGCACCAAAGGUAAUAGUGUCAUGCACCAUGCUGCACAACAUCUGCCUUGGUGUUGGUGACAUUAUACCACCAGACGACAGCCAAGAAGAAGAGGAAGAUUAUGUGGAGCCACCAGAUCCAGUCUGUAUCCAGGUCAGAUGGUCACUGCAGUCACCCGGAUCCAGAUGGUGGAUCAGCACCUAGAGCGGACCUCUACAGCCCUGAAUGUCAACGGAGACCAGGAUACCUAGAUGAGCCCCAG
Long non-coding RNA from Cyprinus carpio carpio, 961 nucleotides. NCBI's taxonomy places the organism in Eukaryota, Metazoa, Chordata, Actinopteri, Cypriniformes, Cyprinidae. The record is from Ensembl.